Molecule: ribosomal RNA, 904 nt
Filed under: Russula emeticicolor
Lineage: Eukaryota; Fungi; Basidiomycota; Agaricomycetes; Russulales; Russulaceae
Description: partial large subunit ribosomal RNA
Rfam family: Eukaryotic large subunit ribosomal RNA
Source: RNAcentral
AAGAAACUAACAAGGAUUCCCCUAGUAACUGCGAGUGAAGCGGGAAAAGCUCAAAUUUAAAAUCUGGUGGUCUUUGGCCAUCCGAGUUGUAAUUUAGAGAAGCGUCUUCCGCGCUGGACCGUGCACAAGUCUCCUGGAAUGGAGCGUCAUAGAGGGUGAGAAUCCCGUCUUUGGCACGGACGCACCAGGGCUUUUGUGAUGCGCUCUCGAAGAGUCGAGUUGUUUGGGAAUGCAGCUCAAAAUGGGUGGUGAACUCCAUCUAAAGCUAAAUAUUGGCGAGAGACCGAUAGCGAACAAGUACCGUGAGGGAAAGAUGAAAAGCACUUUGGAAAGAGAGUGAAACAGUACGUGAAAUUGUUGAAAGGGAAACGCUUGAAGUCAGUCGCGUCGACCGAGACUCAGCCUCGCCUCGGCUUGGUGUACUUCUCGGGCGACGGGUCAGCAUCAAUUUUGCCCCUUGGAUAAUGGCGAGGGAAAUGUGACACCUUUAUGGUGUGUUAUAGUCUCUCGUCGCAUGCGAGGGUCGGGAUUGAGGAACUCAGCACGCGCCUUUGGGCGUCGGGGUUUUUGCCCACGAUACGUGCUUAGGAUGUUGGCGUAAUGGCUUUAAACGACCCGUCUUGAAACACGGACCAAGGAGUCUAACAUGCCCGCGAGUGUUCGGGUGGAAAACCCGUGCGCGCAAUGAAAGUGAAAGUUGGGACCUCCGUCGUGGAGGGCACCGACGCCCGGACCAGACCUUCUGUGACGGCUCUGCGGUAGAGCGUGUAUGUUAGGACCCGAAAGAUGGUGAACUAUGCCUGAAUAGGGUGAAGCCAGAGGAAACUCUGGUGGAGGCUCGUAGCGAUUCUGACGUGCAAAUCGAUCGUCAAAUUUGGGUAUAGGGGCGAAAGACUAAUCGAAC